Molecule: ribosomal RNA, 399 nt
Filed under: uncultured bacterium
Lineage: Bacteria
Description: bacterial SSU rRNA
Rfam family: Bacterial small subunit ribosomal RNA
Source: RNAcentral
AAUGAACGCUGGCGGCGCGCCUAAUACAUGCAAGUCGAGCGAGAAGACGUAGCAAUACGUUUGUAAAGCGGCGAACGGGUGAGGAAUACAUGGGUAACCUACCCUCGAGUGGGGAAUAACUAGCCGAAAGGUUAGCUAAUACCGCGUACGCUUCUUGGACUUCGGUUCAGGGAGGAAAGCGAUGCUGAGGGUAUCGCGCUCUUGGAUGGGCUCAUGUCCUAUCAGCUUGNGGUGAGGUAACGGCUCACCAAGGCUUCGACGGGUAGCUGGUCUGAGAGGACGAUCAGCCACACUGGCACUGCGACACGGGCCAGACUCCUACGGGAGGCAGCAGUAAGGAAUAUUGCGCAAUGGGCGAAAGCCCGACGCAGCGACGCCGCGUGGGGGAUGAAGGUCUUC